UACGAAGGGGGCUAGCGUUGUUCGGAUUUACUGGGCGUAAAGCGCACGUAGGCGGAUCUUUAAGUCAGAGGUGAAAUCCCAAGGCUCAACCUUGGAACUGGCCUUUGAUACUGGGGAUCUUGAGUCCGGGAGAGGUGAGUGGAACUGCGAGUGUAGAGGUGAAAUUCGUAGAUAUUCGCAAGAACACCAGUGGCGAAGGCGGCUCACUGGCCCGGUACUGACGCUGAGGUGCGAAAGCGUGGGGAGCAAACAGGG
RNAcentral lists this ribosomal RNA (255 nucleotides) under uncultured bacterium. RNAcentral describes it as "partial 16S ribosomal RNA". It matches the Rfam family "Bacterial small subunit ribosomal RNA", at positions 524 to 777 of the family's 1533-position model. The record is from RNAcentral.